Molecule: unclassified non-coding RNA, 760 nt
Filed under: Rhagoletis pomonella (apple maggot)
Lineage: Eukaryota; Metazoa; Arthropoda; Insecta; Diptera; Tephritidae
Description: rNA polymerase II degradation factor 1-like, transcript variant X6
Source: RNAcentral
AAAAGGGGCAACAGCAAAAGUUGCCACAAACGCAAUUAUUGCUGCGCAGAGGUAUCAAUUACAUACGAGCACUACUUCAGCUACCCCUACACUUGCGGCGACAAUGACUUCGAGCACAUCAGCACAUCAACAGCAACAACAGCAGCAAACUCCAACAAUUAAGCAACAAACAACAAAUACAUUACCAUCACAACCCCAACCACCUCCACCACAGCAAUCACAACAAACUGCCGUCGGUGUUACUGCAACUAUAACCACAAAUAGUAAUGGUCAGCAACAUCAUAUAACCCAACUUCAGCAACAACAGUCACAUAUAAGCCAACAACAUUAUAAUACUACUUAUCUGCAUGAUACUAAUAAUACGGCUGCAGGCACAACUGCAGUAGCACGUCCACCACUACAGACUGUGAGCUACUAUUAUCAACAACAUACAGCUACAGGUGAAAUAAUUGUAGCUGCAACACCAACAUCUAUUGCGUCAGCUGGAACAGGCAAUGGUUAUACACAUGUGACGUAGAUGAAAAGCAGUCUGCGACAAUAGUCGGCUAGCAGUUUAGUUUAAUAUUUGCUGCGCGUCAACAACUUGCCACAAAUAGAUUGAAACUAUCCAAAUUUACGAUGUUUCGAUUGGUAUCGAUGGCAAAUAUUUAAAAACUGUCCUACGUCAAAAUAUCACAAUUUUAUUCUGACAGUAAUUAAAAUGUGUUUUAAAAACUACCGAUGACCCAGAAUUUGUAGCGAAUAAAAGUGUUUGAAAAUA